Molecule: ribosomal RNA, 386 nt
Filed under: uncultured soil bacterium
Lineage: Bacteria
Description: bacterial SSU rRNA
Rfam family: Bacterial small subunit ribosomal RNA
Source: RNAcentral
AGAUUGGACGCUGGCGGCAGGCCUAACACAUGCAAGUCGAGCGGCAUCACGGGUACUUGUACCUGGUGGCGAGCGGCGGACGGGUGAGUAAUGCCUAGGAAUCUGCCUGGUAGUGGGGGAUAACGCUCGGAAACGGACGCUAAUACCGCAUACGUCCUACGGGAGAAAGCAGGGGACCUUCGGGCCUUGCGCUAUCAGAUGAGCCUAGGUCGGAUUAGCUAGUUGGUGAGGUAAUGGCUCACCAAGGCGACGAUCCGUAACUGGUCUGAGAGGAUGGUCAGUCACACUGGAACUGAGACACGGUCCAGACUCCUACGGGAGCAGCAGUGGGGAAUAGUUGGACAAGUGGGACGAAAGCCUGAUCCAGCCAUGCCGCGUGUGUAGAA